Molecule: ribosomal RNA, 1526 nt
Filed under: Escherichia coli
Lineage: Bacteria; Pseudomonadati; Pseudomonadota; Gammaproteobacteria; Enterobacterales; Enterobacteriaceae
Description: partial 23S ribosomal RNA
Rfam family: Bacterial large subunit ribosomal RNA
Source: RNAcentral
GAAUGCUGACAUAAGUAACGAUAAAGCGGGUGAAAAGCCCGCUCGCCGGAAGACCAAGGGUUCCUGUCCAACGUUAAUCGGGGCAGGGUGAGUCGACCCCUAAGGCGAGGCCGAAAGGCGUAGUCGAUGGGAAACAGGUUAAUAUUCCUGUACUUGGUGUUACUGCGAAGGGGGGACGGAGAAGGCUAUGUUGGCCGGGCGACGGUUGUCCCGGUUUAAGCGUGUAGGCUGGUUUUCCAGGCAAAUCCGGAAAAUCAAGGCUGAGGCGUGAUGACGAGGCACUACGGUGCUGAAGCAACAAAUGCCCUGCUUCCAGGAAAAGCCUCUAAGCAUCAGGUAACAUCAAAUCGUACCCCAAACCGACACAGGUGGUCAGGUAGAGAAUACCAAGGCGCUUGAGAGAACUCGGGUGAAGGAACUAGGCAAAAUGGUGCCGUAACUUCGGGAGAAGGCACGCUGAUAUGUAGGUGAAGUCCCUCGCGGAUGGAGCUGAAAUCAGUCGAAGAUACCAGCUGGCUGCAACUGUUUAUUAAAAACACAGCACUGUGCAAACACGAAAGUGGACGUAUACGGUGUGACGCCUGCCCGGUGCCGGAAGGUUAAUUGAUGGGGUUAGCCGCAAGGCGAAGCUCUUGAUCGAAGCCCCGGUAAACGGCGGCCGUAACUAUAACGGUCCUAAGGUAGCGAAAUUCCUUGUCGGGUAAGUUCCGACCUGCACGAAUGGCGUAAUGAUGGCCAGGCUGUCUCCACCCGAGACUCAGUGAAAUUGAACUCGCUGUGAAGAUGCAGUGUACCCGCGGCAAGACGGAAAGACCCCGUGAACCUUUACUAUAGCUUGACACUGAACAUUGAGCCUUGAUGUGUAGGAUAGGUGGGAGGCUUAGAAGUGUGGACGCCAGUCUGCAUGGAGCCGACCUUGAAAUACCACCCUUUAAUGUUUGAUGUUCUAACGUUGACCCGUAAUCCGGGUUGCGGACAGUGUCUGGUGGGUAGUUUGACUGGGGCGGUCUCCUCCUAAAGAGUAACGGAGGAGCACGAAGGUUGGCUAAUCCUGGUCGGACAUCAGGAGGUUAGUGCAAUGGCAUAAGCCAGCUUGACUGCGAGCGUGACGGCGCGAGCAGGUGCGAAAGCAGGUCAUAGUGAUCCGGUGGUUCUGAAUGGAAGGGCCAUCGCUCAACGGAUAAAAGGUACUCCGGGGAUAACAGGCUGAUACCGCCCAAGAGUUCAUAUCGACGGCGGUGUUUGGCACCUCGAUGUCGGCUCAUCACAUCCUGGGGCUGAAGUAGGUCCCAAGGGUAUGGCUGUUCGCCAUUUAAAGUGGUACGCGAGCUGGGUUUAGAACGUCGUGAGACAGUUCGGUCCCUAUCUGCCGUGGGCGCUGGAGAACUGAGGGGGGCUGCUCCUAGUACGAGAGGACCGGAGUGGACGCAUCACUGGUGUUCGGGUUGUCAUGCCAAUGGCACUGCCCGGUAGCUAAAUGCGGAAGAGAUAAGUGCUGAAAGCAUCUAAGCACGAAACUUGCCCCG